This 8023-nucleotide Piwi-interacting RNA is filed under the name Cordylochernes scorpioides. The stretch from base 3148 to 3220 matches the Rfam family "mir-71 microRNA precursor family". The record is from RNAcentral. Lineage: Eukaryota; Metazoa; Arthropoda; Arachnida; Pseudoscorpiones; Chernetidae.
CGGUGGCGGCAAUCUUGUCGUGCCGUCGACCUCGCUCAUUUUAUGCCCUGCUGGAUGGCUUUACACAAAGUUAUGCCAAUAAAGGCCAACUGAUUAUCCUUGUAUGGAUUUGUAUAAAGUGUCCUAAAUUAGUCGGAAACAUACCUCGAAUUCUCACUGCUCUCUGGACUUUUAUACAAUAUGCCAGCUUGUGGAUCGCCAGGAAAGGUUGAGGCAAUAAGGUGAUUGUUUCAGGCAGCAGGAGGCCCGCAACAUCCUGGAGACACUGAAGGCGGUGUGGCCCAACCUCGACGAUGUCAACAGUGUGAUGGCCGUCAUGGGCCGCCUUAUCCACGAUCCAGGUACACUUGAACUCUGUAACGCUCGUAAAACAUUGGGAUGCUUUUUAUGUAAUAUAAUGACCGUUUAUUAGGUAUUUUAGUUGGGAAAAUGUACUAACUUGUGCUACAGUGACAUAGGUUUCUUUUUAAUUUCUUAUUUAUUCUUAUUUCUUAAUUUUUAGGGAAAAUAAUUGUUCUCGUUGAAAUGGCAGUUUUCCUUCAUUCAAUCCCACUGUUCCUUUCCUUAGGAACAUUGUGACAGUUUCGGCUUCCAGGAAUGGUGGUGGCACGUGUGUUCUAAAUUUGGGGAACCCAGAACGUGCAGCUGUCGCGUGCUCGCCCAGCUGCGAGAGGGGGGGGGGGGGGGGUUCCGCUACAAGUAUUGUUCCCCCCCUCACCUCCAAUCCUUUGGUUGGGGAGGGAGGGAUCAGUUGUUUAAUAAUAUAUAUGUAUAAAAAAAAAGCGGCGGAGGGAAUACACACGCGCGUGUACCGGUAGAAAGAAGGGCGGGGGAAGGUCGGCAUUUGUUUCCUCCUUCAGCUGUGGUGUGACGUGACCUUGCCGAUCUCUCUCUCUCCAACAGGAAACGGUCACAUUACGUCACGGCCACGUCACCCCCCCCCCCCCCCCCCAACAAAUAAUAAUAAAGCGUCGUUAGGUUGGCUGGCGUCGGCACGCUGACCUUGUUCCUUCCCCACCCCAACCUCCUGGAACCUUGGCUGUUUCCUCACUGAGCAGUUUGAAACAAUUGUUUUGUUAAACUUUGGACCAUCUGUGGGUGCCAUGAUGUUAUUUGGGUGCUCUACAUAAAAAGAAGCAGUUGACACAAUAGGUUGGAGUUCCACAAACACUGAAACAAAGCUUGGUGUCACUGAGUAACAUCACUAGCAAAUGACAUUUAGAAUUGAGGCAGUUUAUUAUCAAAUAGAAGAUGGUUACACAUAUGCAUAUAUGGAUGGUAUUUGAUUGCCAUUGGUUACUUUCAUCUCCACUGCCAUCUGGCACCUCUCAACAGUAUCACUCUUUUGGAUGUUCUCAUAUGCCCAAUGUUUUCUUAGCAACUUUUGGGAGUAUCCUGGCAAAUGAUAUUUCCAAUAUUUUAGAAUAAUUGAUGCAAUUCUCUCAGACAUAUUAGUGAUUGUAUUGACUCAUCCAUUGAUGAGCUCUACUCUUCCCCGGCAGACACCAUCAAAAGUCUCAAGCUUUACAAGCUUGAUACCUUAGUGUGAUUGAGUGGAGAUAAGAAAGAAGAAUAAUUGAAAUAUAUUUCCACCUGAUUAGUGUUCCUGCUUUCUUGAUAGGUUCCCCUCCCAGAUCUUCUCUUGUCACACUUUUAUUCGGAUGUUGUCCUGCGUUCUCUAAAGAAUAUACAGUAAUACCUGGAUGUAUCUUGAUUGAGUUAUUUCCUGCAUAUCUUACUGCUAUUUGGCAUCUUUCACUCUAACUACAAUAUGAUUAAAUUGAACCAUCAACUAGAUUUAAGAUUUGCUGUUUUUGGAUUUCAAUAGAUAUAUUUACAUAUCGUUUGGUUUUCUUUAUUCCCAGUGGAUACUUGAGGCAUCUUGUUACAAGAUGAUGAUCCGAAGCUUUCUUGAAAACUUUUGUUGUAAAUAUAAAGCAAAUUGUGUCAUUAUAAUCUUUUGUUUUUAAAAUGUCAAUAUAUAUAUAUAUUUUUUAAAAAAUACCUUAUAUAGUUAUAAUUAUAUGUGACUUUGCUCUGUCCUGCAUCUUUCACGUGAUAAUUUCUGUAAUAAUAGUUUCAACAGCUUCUCUAUGAUAUUACAUUUUUGUCGGAAAAUGUGUGUGCUUGAUUUGGAUAGGUUUGACUUCUCUUUUCUCUAGCUCCAUUAAAAUGAAAUAGGCUAGCGCCUGAUUAUUUUAGUUGUCAAAAAAAUCUAUUACUAAAUAGGUAAAGCUAAGGAUAUUGUAGCAGGAGAUAUGCCAAUAUUGAGAUACUUUUUAACAAUUCCCACCAUGCAACUGUAGUGGGCAAGAGCAUCCACGGAGGAGGUCUGCCAAUGUAAACAGAUAUUUUAUCUUAUCAUAGUUUACAUUAGAGGGGCUCUUGCCUCAGCUGCAGUGUGUGGGCAGAGACCAAUGUGAGGGUAGAGCUCAUCAACCAAAUCCCCCACGUGGCUGUCUUCUGCCACCAGCGGGAGAACAUUCUGGGGCCCUUGAUACGCCAGCACCUCAUCCCACUCCUGGUUAAUGUCUUCUCGGACGACCUGCCCUCGGUAACUAUUUCUACCACCCACCUACCUCUCUUGUGUUUUACCAUAAUAAUAGGGCUAGCAUUCUUUUUUCUUGAAUGACGCUGAGGGGACUGGUGCUACUUCAUAAUACAGAUUUAGAUGCCAAUUUGGAUAUCAGAUAUGGAGUGGCAAGAUAGGUUGUUCAUUGCCACCAUCCUACAAGACUAGUAAUGGUAGCAUUGCUGGUACUGAAGCUUUGCAUGUAAAUUACUUGUUAGGGAUUAAAUGGUUGCUUAUUACAUAGUUGACUUUGUGCUGUGUAGGUGAGGAAGUCUAGUCACAAUGCAUUCCUCCUGCUGUUGGAACAAGGGCUGGUGCACAAGAGUAAGUCUAGUUGGUGUUUGUUCUCUCUCACCUAUGGCUAACUUACUGCCUCAGCCAUGUUGGAGGAGUGGCUCUGUCCCAUGGUGGCCAUGCAGGCUGGGGAGGAGACCAUAGAAGAGGACAGGCGCCUCGAAGCUCUUCUGGUAAGUCUCGGCCAUUUUUUUUUUUGCUUCUGUUGCCAAUUCUUGUAUAUAUUUGCUACUUCUGCUGUGUAACUUGGUUGGUUUCCAACUGGGUUGAUGCUGGAGACCUCGCCGUGAAAGACAUGGGUAGUGAGAUGUGUGGCCGACCCCUUCAUCUCACUAUCUUGUCUUUGACGGGGAGUCCGGCGACCUACGGUCUUGGCAGUAGAGUGUGGCGGGCCGUCAAAGGGGCUGUGAGAUGCGUUUUAUGCUUGCCAUAUCACAGCCACUUUUGAUGAGCCCGCUGCUCCUAUCCUCAUCAACGCUGUCGUCCGCCCGACCACCAGAGCCAGGAGGGUCCUCACUCACAAAGUGGCGGUGACAUGUCAUGCCGUGCAAUCAUAUCACAGCCAUCUUUGAUGAGUGAGGCCCCUUUCCUGAUGUCUUCCCUACGCGACAGUGCUCCCGAGCAUGAUCGUCAAAGUGGCUGAUGAUGUGUUGCGACCCAAUCGUAUCACAGCCAGCUUUGAUGAACACCCUCAGGGGCUAAGGACUCCUCAGCUACAAGGUAUUUCUCUCUCUGUGCUCGCCUCCCACCUGAACCUUUCUUUACAAUCUGUGCCAGUUGUGCUUAUCCCUAGUAGGAUGAUGAGGUUGUGAAAGAUAUCCUGAUUGUGCAACAAUGGUUGCUGUCACAAUAAAUACCAACUAAUAGUUGAUUUUAUCAUUAUUCUAGAUAUGCCCAUUUACCUUUUCUUGAUUAAUCAAGCCAACCCCACAUACACAAAUUCACUCUUUUGGCCCUCAUCAGCGUUUUACAGGCUGUACCUUAAUGACCAAAAAAACUGGUCUUUUAGACUUACUAAAAAAAAUCAAGGAAUGGGUAUUUGUCAUUAAGUGUGUGAGAAUGCCAAACUAUAGUGAAACAAAAAAAAAAUUGUGAAAUUGUACUUGGGAUCAGGUUAAUACAUUUUAAGAAAAGGCAUCUUCUGAUGGGGCAACUGUUGUUGAUGGCUUUCACAAUCUGUCGGAUCAAAUAUCAACUUAUCGUUGAUUUUUUAUAAUUGCAGAGUUGGCCAAAUAAAGAGAUGUCUUAAUCUGAUCCAGUAUAAUUUCACUAUUUUUCAUAUACUUUAUUAAAAGUCUCAUUAUACCACUUGGCAUUAGCACAAUAGAGAGGUUGCCAUCUAUUACAGAGAGUCUUUCACAAUAUAUUAAUAUUGAAUAAUACAUCUCUCAGCAGCACACUUAGAUCACAAAAUACUGAUUAUAUCUAUAGAAUAUUAUAAUCAUGAGCUAUAGUAGAUAGUAGCUGCUUCAUAGACACUUGUGUGGCUCGAAUCAGUGUACAUUGCAGAGAACUGAAAGGUAUUGAUCAAUUUUCAAUAUAAUUAUUUCCCUUCCCCCAUUGGAUCAUAGAACUUGACUAUUUUGGCAGAUAUGGAGUGUUUUGUAACUAUUCUUACCCCCUUGUGUAAAGAUUACACAAAUUCCAUGAGUUCAUGCUCCUCGAGCUGUAACUAUUUGUAGUUAAUAAAGCCUAUGGUUUGUGUGGUUAAUAAUGUAAAGAUGGAUGAAUGGAAACUUGGUGUGGGGAGGACAAGACUUGGUUCAAAGUUGUAUACAACAAAACUUGUUAUAUCUACAAUUUAAAAUUUUUCAACAUCUUAGACUUUGUAUUCCUUUGCAAUCAAAAAGUUGAUCNNNNNNNNNNNNNNNNNNNNNNNNNNNNNNNNNNNNNNNNNNNNNNNNNNNNNNNNNNNNNNNNNNNNNNNNNNNNNNNNNNNNNNNNNNNNNNNNNNNNUUAAGGGGAUGGUAGUUUCGAAACUUGCCUCGGCGCUCGAGUCACUUUGAAGAAAUUUGGAGAUGACGCGGAAAGAAGCUGUUAUUGAGGAAGUAUGUGGAUGGAGGAAAUUCUUUGGAAGCGGCAAGAAUUUCAGCUACUAAUGGUUGGACAAUUUGUUUGACGUUGUCCAUUCUAAACAUUCUGUAUGAUCUCCCUUUUGUAAUACUGCUUUCAAAGAAUCCACACAAAUUUAUUAAAAUUUCAAUAAUCGAAAAAAAAAAGAAUAUGUAUGAAUGUUGUGUGGACUUUUUGUGCCCCUCUCGUUAAAAGUCUUCAUACUGAUUCCGAAAUAGCUUGUUCAGUUUGUAAAUUAGACUAACUCAUUUUUGUCAAACGUCCCAAACGCGUCCCUUUUGACUCAUUAUAACUUUUUUUUUAAACGGUCUAUAUAUUUUUGUGGAAUCAGCAACCCAAGAAAAAGGUGUAUAUGUGGUAAUGAAGACGUCAGAGAGAUGGCAUGUGUGUGGGUCAGUCAGCGUGAUGGUGGUGGAGGGUAACGGACAACCAACUCGACGCCGUAGUGCGUUGGUUGAACGACCGCUGCGUGGGGCCCAGCGCGCAUGCGUCGGCAAGCCAUUGAUCGGACGGACCCAUUGUUGGCGUGGGGGGUGGCUGCCCCUCCUUUCGCGCGCACUACACUGGCCCGGUUUGGCACCGGCCUCAUUCAACUUUUCCCGCACUCACUCACACACCAGCACUUCCUGGGCUUGUUGUUACUGCUGUGGUGGCUAACUGGUUGGUGGUUGACGCCUCCUUUCGCUCCGAUGCCCUUCUUGUCAUGUGCUGCUUGCUUAUCGCGGCGUCCCCCUCUACCAACUUGGGCAAAUCCAUCCUAAACCCUAUUCUAUUUCCACCUUCAAACUUUUAUUCCAUAACAUUUUAUUUUUGUUGUUUACGCGUCUUUAUCCUUCCUUUCACCCCCCAGAAUGUAUGUUUAUGGAAGAAAAUAUUUUUACGAUAGAGGAAACCCCCACCCCCCCACGUAACAAUCUAGAGAUGGCGUCGUACAUUUCCUCUCAUUACAUAAUGUGUUGUUGUUCACUGCGCAGAGUCCUUUAUCUAACUCCUCUUACACACGAGAAUCUCUCAUUACAAACCUAACAAAGAUUUUGCUUCAAAAUCCUCCCCCAGUACAUGAUGUUUCAAUCACAUCAUUAAAUAUUUAAAGAGAAAGAAAUUGAAUUUUGAAAAUAAUAAAAAAAAACGGUAGUGAAAUUUUCAAGUAGUAAGUUUUAGUCAAAGAAUAAAUGUUUCUCCACACACACUCUCAUGGCUUUAAUUAAGGCAAUAAUUACCGAUUAGCGUUUUAAAAGAAUAGGAAGUUAAUUAACAUAGUUUAUAUCCAGAAAUCAAUUGUGAUUAAAAUUAGAAAAAAGCAGAAUUUCUUCAAGACCCUCUGCUCUACCUAACAAGCUAUUUAAAUGAUUGAUUUGUAGUGCUAGAAUUUUUUUUUUUUUGCUUAUUUAAAAAAAAAAAAUCGAUUCUUUAUUUAUCAUUCAUAUAAAGGAAUCACUGUCCUAGUGUUCACCCUGAAUAGGAUAGUCCUCGAAUAAUGCAGAUUUUUGUUUUUAAUCAUUGAAAGAAAAUUCCAUCAUUUUUUUUACUUUUUUACCAUAACACCGCUACUGUAUAUAAUAAAUAGCAGAGGGAAGGCCCUAUAUCAACAAAUUAAAUGUACCAACACUUCACUCUACGUAUUGCUUUCAAAAAUAUCAGCAAACAAAUCUAAAGCAAUAGCUUACUAUAGAUUUUUUAGAUCAUCAUUAUGUAAGGACCAGUCAACAAGUGAAUGACUUUGAGACGAAGAGUAAAGCCAGUUCAAUUUCCAUCUUACUACCUAUGUAAAUAACAGAUGAUUAUUACCCAAUUGGGAGAAUCUUUAUGGGCAAGUCCUUAAUAAAGGCUUUUGUGUGUGUGUAUAACAAAUAAUAAUAAUAAACUUUUAUUAAAACAAUUGGUUAAACAAUCAAUUGGGAACAAGCUGUGCAUAAGAGCUAAUAUAAAGCUCAAACUAUAAACUCAAAUGUCCCACUUAUCACCUGGUAGCUUCUUCCUGUCUAAGCUUGCAAUUGCUUCCCAACCUUUUUGUGUCCCAAUUUUUUUGAUGGCUUUUUAAUGAUAGUUAUGUCUGAAAGAGUUGCAGCAUGCCUAAAGCAGGUUUUAGUGUGAGGGUUCUAAUACAUCCUAUUUUAUACAUGCUUACAAAGUGCUAUCAAAGUGGAAAUGUUCCAUAUCCUAUUUACCCAUGGAGAGAGAUUGAGUCUAGAGAGAUGAAAAAAUGAUCAAAAAGCAAUAUUAUUUCCUAACACUAGUUUUUAGCAUCUUUGUCAUGAUGUUGAAGUAAUCUGUUAUUACUCCAGUCAUUUUUUCCUCUUCGUUCUGCCUAUUAGAGCAUUUUUUGUUCUCUUUUAGUGGCCCACAAAUACAUUCAUUGCUGUUAAAGGAUCACUAUGGUACUAUAUAACCACAUCUUGUUUACUCAUUUUUAAAACCUUCUCAUCCUGCUAUUCUUCUUGCUAGAGUCAGGUAUUUCAACUACAGUACACAGGAAUCCUGUGUGAAGCUCAUGAAAUCAAAGCCUGACUGACAAGGGCAGGACUGUUAGCCCAUAAGCUGGGUUUUGGCUUUGUCACCUACUCAAAUCUGCAAAGAAGGUUAAUUUUAGCAUCUAUUUUGAUGAUAAAGGUGACCAUUCUUUUUAUAGAUUAAUUUUGCCAUUUUAAAUUUCUGGUCAUGAGUUUAAAAAGCAAGAGAUGUCACUUUGAACCUUGAUAGGCAGUAUGUCAACAACACCACCUAAGACAAUUUAAAAGAGCCAUUUUUUUUUUUACUCUGUUGACUGUGAUACCCAACCCUCCUUAGAUUAAAAUAAAUCAAUAAUGUGCCAUCUAUAUAGCUAAUGAAAACAUUUAGACACAAAUGUUUCUUUCACACAUAAACCCUCUUUAGAAGGCUGAUUUAACGGUUUCCAAAUGUGUGUGCAUCAAAAUCUCUCUAAUGCAUACUCAGAAGGAACCUAGAAAGCUAAGAUCAGGGUGGCUACAUGAGAAAAUACCUUCUGUGUCACCUCACUGUGAAGAUACUAGAGUGCUAUCUACGUUGCAUUUUUCAUUUAUUCAACCUAUUCUUUGUUGGCUAAUUAUCUUGAUUGUUAAAUCC